This 461-nucleotide ribosomal RNA is filed under the name uncultured bacterium. RNAcentral describes it as "partial 16S ribosomal RNA". It matches the Rfam family "Bacterial small subunit ribosomal RNA", at positions 338 to 795 of the family's 1533-position model. The record is from RNAcentral.
CCUACGGGCGGCAGCAGUGAGGAAUAUUGGUCAAUGGACGCAAGUCUGAACCAGCCAAGUAGCGUGCAGGAUGACGGCCCUCCGGGUUGUAAACUGCUUUUAGUUGGGAAUAAAAGGGGGCUCGUGAGCCCCGUAUUGUAUGUCCCAUCAGAAAAAGGACCGGCUAAUUCCGUGCCAGCAGCCGCGGUAAUACGGAGGAUGCGAGCGUUAUCCGUAUGUAUUGGGUUUAAAGGGUGCGUAUGCGGAGCGUUAAGUCAGUGGUCAAAUUGCGGGGCUCAACCCCUUCCCGCCCUUGAAACGGGCGCUCUUGAGUGGAAGAGAAGUAGGCGGAAUGCGUGGUGUAGCGGUGAAAUGCAUAGAGAUCACGCAGAACCCCGAUUGCGAAGGCAGCAUGCCGGCUUCCGACUGACGCUGAAGCACGAAAGCGUGGGGAUCGAACAGGAUUAGAUACCCUAGUAGUC